This 494-nucleotide ribosomal RNA is filed under the name uncultured bacterium. RNAcentral's name for it is "partial 16S ribosomal RNA". It matches the Rfam family "Bacterial small subunit ribosomal RNA", at positions 28 to 507 of the family's 1533-position model. The record is from RNAcentral.
GACGAACGCUGGCGGCGUGCUUAACACAUGCGAGUCGAACGGAAAGGCCUGCUUUCCCUUGUGGAUUGCGGGUACUCGAGUGGCGAACGGGUGAGUAACACGUGAGUGAUCUGCCCCCAACUUGGGUAUAAGCCUGGGAAACUGGGUCUAAUUCCCGAUAGGACUGCAGGGUGGUGCCUGUGGUGGAACACGAUUUUCUAGUGGUUGGGGAUGAGCUCGCGGCCUAUCAGCUUGUUGGUGGGGUAAUGGCCUACCAAGGCGGCGACGGGUAGCCGGCCUGGGAGGGUGGACGGCCACAUUGGGACUGGGAUACGGCCCAGACUCCUACGGGAGGCAGCAGUGGGGAAUAUUGCACAAUGGGCGGAAGCCUGAUGCAGCGACGCCGCGUGGGGGAUGACGGCCUUCGGGUUGUAAACUCCUUUCGACCGCGAGGAAGCCACCUGGUUGGAAGGGUGGUGACGGUAGUGGGAGAAGAAGCACCGGCUAACUACGUG